RNAcentral lists this long non-coding RNA (769 nucleotides) under Oryza sativa (Asian cultivated rice). RNAcentral's name for it is "long non-coding RNA (OSAT_LNC000096)". The record is from RNAcentral. Lineage: Eukaryota; Viridiplantae; Streptophyta; Magnoliopsida; Poales; Poaceae.
UCUUUUUCACUAUGGACGCACAAGAACACCACCACCUCCAAGAAAUCAAACCUACCUCGCCGGCGACUAGCCGGAGAUAGCAGAUUCCGGCGGCGGCGGUGGGCACAGUAGUAGAUCAUAACAUAACUAGCUUAGCUAGACCUCGACGUGGCAGUAGGUGGUAGUCUGGAACCUGAAGCCGCUGGCGCCGGGGGAGCCAUUGCCGCCGGCGGUGACGAGGAAGGCCGGGCAGGUGACGAAGAGGUGGUAGUGGCCGGAGAUCCAGCUGCCGACCUUCCACCGGACGCGGCCGUCGAUCUUGACCUGGAGGAUGAGGUAGCCCGCCUGGCAAUCCUGCGAGAUGGCGUCGGCGAGGUAGGGCGCGAAGGGGACGCUGGGGCCGGCGAGCACCGGCGACCAGACGUCGACGUCGCCGUGGCCCUGGUACACCGGCGGGAGCGAGGCGGCGACGGUGAUCUGCUGGUACUUGUAGGAGGCGUAGACGUCGAGGCGGUCGUAGUAGACGCCGACGCGGUCGUUGGGGUUGCGGGAGGCGACGGUGACCUGGAUGGUGGUGGAGAGGACGCCGCCGGCGGUGGAGGAGGAGUUGGAGAGGUCGAGCUGGCGGAGGGUGGCGUCCUGGAGGUAGAAGCGAGGGUGGGUGGGGCGGAGGACGAGGUAGACGAUGAGGGCGAUGAUGCCGACGAGGAUGGCGAGGACGACGAGGACGGUGAUGAAUCGCCGGCAUCCCUGCCGGAAGUCGUCGUCGCCGUGCUUGCCGCAAUCCUUC